Molecule: transfer RNA, 71 nt
Filed under: Chloroflexota bacterium
Lineage: Bacteria; Bacillati; Chloroflexota
Description: Chloroflexi bacterium tRNA-Gly
Rfam family: tRNA
About the family: Transfer RNA (tRNA) molecules are approximately 80 nucleotides in length. Their secondary structure includes four short double-helical elements and three loops (D, anti-codon, and T loops). Further hydrogen bonds mediate the characteristic L-shaped molecular structure. tRNAs have two regions of fundamental functional importance: the anti-codon, which is responsible for specific mRNA codon recognition, and the 3' end, to which the tRNAs corresponding amino acid is attached (by aminoacyl-tRNA synthetases). tRNAs cope with the degeneracy of the genetic code in two manners: having more than one tRNA (with a specific anti-codon) for a particular amino acid; and 'wobble' base-pairing, i.e. permitting non-standard base-pairing at the 3rd anti-codon position.
Source: RNAcentral
GCGACAGUGGUGUAGGGGUAACACAACAGCCUUCCAAGCUGUUAUCAUGGGUUCGAAUCCCAUCUGUCGCU